UGGUGGAGUGAUCUGUCUGGUUAAUUCCGUUAACGAACGAGACCUCAGCCUGCUAACUAGUCCGACGAAGUCCCUUUUCCAGCGGGAUUAGGUACGCCCUGUCCUUUGCAGGAGUUGGGACUUUGGUAUUCGGAACUUCUUAGAGGGACUGUCUGUAUCUAGCAGAAGGAAGUAUGAGGCAAUAACA
Molecule: ribosomal RNA, 187 nt
Filed under: uncultured eukaryote
Lineage: Eukaryota
Description: partial 18S ribosomal RNA
Rfam family: Eukaryotic small subunit ribosomal RNA
Source: RNAcentral